RNAcentral lists this ribosomal RNA (468 nucleotides) under uncultured bacterium. RNAcentral's name for it is "partial 16S ribosomal RNA". It matches the Rfam family "Bacterial small subunit ribosomal RNA", at positions 28 to 507 of the family's 1533-position model. The record is from RNAcentral.
GACGAACGCUGGCGGCGUGCUUAACACAUGCAAGUCGAACGGAAAGGCCCUGCUUUUGUGGGGUGCUCGAGUGGCGAACGGGUGAGUAACACGUGAGUAACCUGCCCUUGACUUUGGGAUAACUUCAGGAAACUGGGGCUAAUACCGGAUAGGAGCUCCUGCUGCAUGGUGGGGGUUGGAAAGUUUCGGCGGUUGGGGAUGGACUCGCGGCUUAUCAGCUUGUUGGUGGGGUAGUGGCUUACCAAGGCUUUGACGGGUAGCCGGCCUGAGAGGGUGACCGGCCACAUUGGGACUGAGAUACGGCCCAGACUCCUACGGGAGGCAGCAGUGGGGAAUAUUGCACAGUGGGCGGAAGCCUUAUGCAGCAACGCCGCGUGCGGGAUGACGGCCUUCGGGUUGUAAACCGCUUUCGCCUGUGACGAAGCGUGAGUGACGGUAAUGGGUAAAGAAGCACCGGCUAACUACGUG